This is a long non-coding RNA of Bos taurus (domestic cattle), 3334 nucleotides long. The record is from Ensembl. NCBI's taxonomy places the organism in Eukaryota, Metazoa, Chordata, Mammalia, Artiodactyla, Bovidae.
AACAGUUAUAUCAGUGAGAUUCAUCUGCAUUUCAGUUUUUUAUAACUAUAACUUUUCUGUAAAUUCUACUGUCUCCUUAGUAAUUCCUCCGAAGUCAUUAGUUUUAACAGGAAGAUUUAUGCAUUGCAAAAAUAACUGUGUUUUUCAAAAUGUCUUUAAAGACUUUUUUUUCAUGAAUAAAUUUAAGAAUUCUGCUUUAGUUUUUUUUCUUGUGUUUUUUUUAAAGUCUGCAAUUCUGAGAACAUCCUGACAGUCUGGCCUAGCAGUCCUGACCUAGAGAGGAAAAGCCAGUAGAAGCUCCAAAGAAUCUGAGCUCCCUUAGAUUCCUAAACCUUAUGUCUGUGACACCUAUAUGAAGAGGUAAUGAUUGGACUCACUGUGUACAGCAGGUAAAGUGAAAUGUCUGCCUCUCGAGAGAUGUUUCUUUAUGACUCCACUUAAUAGAUUCUAUAUGGACUGAAUGUCCCUGUGCACACAUGUGGUAUAUAAAACUUAACUGUACUGAAGAUUAUUUUUAUCAUUAAAAACAUUGUUUACUCUUGUUUAAAAAAAUUUUUUAAGCAAGGUCACACAGAGCAAAUAAUUUAUAUUGUGGGUCAUCAGGAAAUUAGGCUAAAAUAGCUAAUAAUUAUAACUAAUGAUUAAUUAUUCAAUUUAAAAUUGUUAACCCAAAAAUCUAAAUAACAAAAAAUAAUAGUGUAGCAGAUACUGUCAUCCCAUUGACCUCCUCUCAGCACUUCCCACUCAAUACAUGCAACUUUUAACCUGAGGAGUUUUUCUCAACCCCUCCAGGGCAGUCAAGAAGCACCAAGGACCCUGAGAGCAGUCUUCAACCAAUGACACUUGAAAACUGAAGGAUAAAUACAUAUGCCAAGUGUGGUAGGCUGAAGAAUAUCCUCUGAAGAUAUCAGGCCCUGAAACUGGUGAAUUUUGUGUUUUAGAGCCAAAGGGAAACUAGGCAGAGGGGGAUUUCACGCAGAUGGAAGAGGAGGAGACCUUGUGGCCACAGAAGCGGACAGUGCAGUGAUGUAACCACAAGUCAAGGAGAGCCAGCAGCCACCAGAAGCAGGAAGAGGCAAGGAGCAGACUGUCCCGUGGAGCCUCUGGAGGCAGGAUGGCCCUGCUGACUGCAUGAUUCCAAGGAUACUGAUUUCGAACUUUUGGCCUCUAGACCUGUGAGAGAAUAAGUUUUCAUUGUUUUCAGCUACCAAAUUUGUGGCGAUUGUCACAGUGACCACAGAACACUAAUAUACCAAUAUUUAUACCCAUAAGUACACCAAUGUCCUCACUUCUCAAAAGCAGAACAACUCUGAGGCAUCUUCUGUUGUCUCCAGGAGUCUGCAGCAGAGUUGAGCCCUACCUUUAGGGUUACCCACCCAUCAGCCUACUCUGUUAUUGACUUUCUCUUCUCAGUCUCGCUUGCUUAUUCUUCCAUCAGUGGUUCCAGGUCUCUCCUUCAAUACAAACCACAUACUCUCAAAUCCUUCUGUAUGAGUUUCUUGGAGUUGCUAUAACAAAGUACCAUAAACUGUGUGGCUUAUAACAAAAAAAAUUUAUUCUCACAGUUCUGGAGGCCAGAAGUUGGAAAUACAAUAAAGGUGUUGAUUCAGUUGGUUCCUCUUCAGGCCUCUGAGAAGUCUGUUUCAUGCUUCUUUCCUAGCUUUUGGUGAUGGCUGGCAAUUCAUGGCAUUCUCUGGUUUGUAAAUGCGUCUCUCCUAUCUCUGCCUCCAUCUUUACAUAGCAUUCUCCCCUGUCUCUGUGUCUUCAUGUGGCCAUCUUCCCCUCAUGUAAGAACACUAGUUAUAUUGGAUCAAGGACCCAGUUUCAUGACAUUAUCACAACUUGGUAACAUCUGUAAAGAUCCUAUGCCCAAAUAAAGUCACAUUUCUACAUACUGGGGAUAAGAAUUAUAACAUCUUUUGUAAGGCACAUACUUCAACUCAUAACACCUUGACUCAGUGUCAAAUAUGGGGACCCCUAACCUAAGACAAUUAUCACUUAAUAAGCAUUUUUAUUUCCAAAGCAUAAGCAUUUUUAUUUCCCUAAAUAUAAUUAUUUUUCUUCAGUAAUCUUAUGAUAUUGUGUCUAUUUCAAAGUUAAUAAAUCUGAGGAUUAGAUAUUAUGGUGUAGUCAAGUCUGUGUUUUACCAGGCAGGAAAUGUAAUAAGAUGCCAGUUCUACCAGUGGGAGUGGUUUUCAGCAAAAGAGAUCAAAUACCUUAAGCUUUUUCUUUUUUCCCCCCCUCAUCUGCAAUAUUAUAGAUCAGGAAACAAAGAGGGAUUUUCCUAGGGUUGUGAUAAUCUUUUCUAUUUGAGAUUUUGUUGAUAAAUUUAAUGUCUAAGACCUGAUGUUUCCUCUUUCUUUACUUGAAUUGUCUGUUCAGAGCCACUCUUGUUUAUUCAUUGCUUUCCAGAAUCUUUGGGGAAGGGGGAGUAGACUCCACACACAAAGUCAUGUCCAGUUUCUGAUAAUCCCUUUGGCAGCAAUAGUUGCUCACUCUCUGUACCAGCCUCUGCUAGGAGCUCUCUGUGAAAGAGUGUUCUACAAAACAAGGACACAUUGUCUCUGCCUCUAUUCUAAAGCUGCUGGUAAGUACCCUGCACAGGGAAGAGACCAUAAGAUGAAACUAACAUCUUAGAUACCUUGUAUAUCACAAUGUGCCCCGGCUUAUUCUAAUAUUCUCUACUUCAUCUUUCACCAAAGGCCAAGUCCUUUCUCUGAUUACAAGUUUGGAAAUACUUCCACUUACGGGCUUAUCCACAUAUAGUCCCAAAACCUGCUUAGGUGGCAUUUAUGCUUCUGAUUGCUUCCCUUCCUUUUAUAAGCUGAUACUGCUGAUUAUUAUUUUUUUAAUUAUUUAUUUGGCUGUACCCAGAGUUGUGGGCUUCCCAGGUGGCACUACUGGUAAAGAAUCUGCCUGCCAGUGCCUGAGACUCAAGAGACCUGCAUUCUAUUCCUGGGUCAGGAAGAUCCCCUGGAGAAGGAAAUGGCAACCCACUCUAGUAUUCUUGCCUAGAAAAUUCCAUGGACAGAAGAUCCUGGUGGGCUACAGUCCAUGGUGUCGUGAAGAGUCGGACACGACUGAGCACACACACACAUUCUACAUACCCCGUCUUAGUUGCAGCAGGUGGCAGCUUCUAUCUUCGUUUGCAGCUUGUGGGAUCUUUAGUUGAUUAGUUGCGGCAUUCGAACUCUUAGUUGUGACAUAUUGGGAUCUAGUUCCCUGACCAGGGAUCAAACUCAGGCCCCCUACAUUGAAAGCAUGGAGUCUUAGCCGCUGAAGCACCAGGGAAGUCUGUGUUGCUAAUAAUUAAAAUCCUCUCAGGUGAAUAAAU